CACAGUUGCCCACCCACAAACGGAUUAGCUAGCAUGGACAGAGUUGUGUGCACCUCUCUUGUAGUCCUCGCGCUAGCUGUGCUCGCCGGCCCGGGCACGAAGGCGGCGGCGCUCGCCGGUGGCACUGCCAGCAUGGACGCGGGGUCGACGGUGCGACCUCAGCUGAUGUCAGCGACGCAGUCGUUGUCCAUGAAGCUGGAGGACGGCGUGGCGCCGGAGCUUGCGGCGGCAUCGGUGGUGAACCUGGAGGUGCACCGCCGCGUCCUUGGUGAGAUCAACCCAGACGUCCUGGGAAAAGAUGUCUGCAUGCCGCGUUGUCCGGCGAAGGGACAGCCGUACACAGGCCAUGCAUGCAAAAACAUUUACAAAUGCCCAAAUACCUGA
This 384-nucleotide ribosomal RNA is filed under the name Triticum aestivum (bread wheat). RNAcentral's name for it is "partial small subunit ribosomal RNA". The record is from RNAcentral. Lineage: Eukaryota; Viridiplantae; Streptophyta; Magnoliopsida; Poales; Poaceae.